AAGCAAAGAAAUCAUUCUCAGGAUGCGCAAUAUUACUGAUUGUAAGUACACCAUCUUGCCAUCCAUAUGCAUGCCGUGACUGGAGUAAAUUAAUUACUGAUUUAUAUUGUUGUAAAUUAAUUACUGAUUUAUAUUGGUUGUAGAUACUGUAUUUGGACAACCUACAAUGCCAACAUCAGGUUCAGCACAUGGACACUCCUCGUGCAAAGUACUUUACUCAAAAUGUGAUAAAAAAGAUAAUCAGUGCCGAUAGGACCAAAGAUCAACAAGGGAAGGCUACAUUUGGGUUGUUACCGGUUCGGUCUAUUCACACAUGUCCUCUUUUUAUUAUGUCAAAUAUUCUCCAGUAUUUCCCCCCAAUACACUUCGUGUGUGCAGCUUAGGAACAUCAUCGAUACUUGCUACCAUACAACUGAGAACCCAUCUUCAACUACCCC
RNAcentral lists this long non-coding RNA (437 nucleotides) under Setaria viridis. Its description in RNAcentral is "long non-coding RNA (SVIR_LNC003423)". Lineage: Eukaryota; Viridiplantae; Streptophyta; Magnoliopsida; Poales; Poaceae. The record is from RNAcentral.